Molecule: ribosomal RNA, 275 nt
Filed under: uncultured bacterium
Lineage: Bacteria
Description: partial 16S ribosomal RNA
Rfam family: Bacterial small subunit ribosomal RNA
Source: RNAcentral
CCUACGGGUGGCUGCAGUAGGGAAUAUUGGACAAUGGGGGCAACCCUGAUCCAGCCAUGCCGCGUGCAGGAAGACUGCCCUAUGGGUUGUAAACUGCUUUUGUACGGGAAGAAACCUUCGAAUGCGUUCGGAGUUGACGGUACCGUGAGAAUAAGGAUCGGCUAACUUCGUGCCAGCAGCCGCGGUAAUACGAAGGAUCCAAGCGUUGUCCGGAUUUACUGGGUUUAAAGGGUGCGUAGGCGGUUAAUUAAGUCAGUGGUGAAAGCCCUCAGCUU